RNAcentral lists this ribosomal RNA (436 nucleotides) under uncultured bacterium. RNAcentral's name for it is "bacterial SSU rRNA". It matches the Rfam family "Bacterial small subunit ribosomal RNA", at positions 29 to 507 of the family's 1533-position model. The record is from RNAcentral.
AGCGAACGCUGGCGGCAUGCUUAACACAUGCAAGUCGCACGGUCAGCAAUGGCAGUGGCGGACGGGUGAGUAACGCGUAGGUAUCUAUCCUCGGGUGGGGGGACAACCACGGGGAAACUGUGGCUAAUACCGCAUGAUGACUGAGGUCUAAAGGCGCAAGUCGCCUGAGGAGGAGCCUGCGUCCGAUUAGCUAGUUGGUGGGGUAAAGGCCUACCCAAGGCUCCGAUCGGUAGCUGGUCUGAGAGGAUGAUCAGCCACACUGGGACUGAGACACGGCCUAGACUCCUACGGGAGGCAGCAGUGGGGAAUAUUGGACAAUGGGCGCAAGCCUGAUCCAGCAAUGCCGCGUGGGUGAAGAAGGUCUUCGGAUUGUAAAGCCCUUUCGACGGGGACGAUGAUGACGGUACCCGUAGAAGAAGCUCCGGCUAACUUCGUG